UUCGUCGGCCGGGAGUGGAACCUGCGUCAAGUGUUUCAGAAACAGCUGUUCUGACCGUUGAACUACCGACGA
Araneus ventricosus is the source of this 72-nucleotide non-coding RNA. The record is from the annotation of a GenBank genome assembly. NCBI's taxonomy places the organism in Eukaryota, Metazoa, Arthropoda, Arachnida, Araneae, Araneidae.